UUAAGAAUCUUGCGCAAUGGGGGAAACCCUGACGCAGCGACGCCGCGUGGACGAUGAAGGCCUUCGGGUUGUAAAGUCCGGUGAGCGGGGAAGAAUAAGCAACGGGUAAUAUUCGUUGUGAUGACGGUACCUGCCUAAAGCCCCGGCUAACUACGUGCCAGCAGCCGCGGUAAUACGUAUGGGGCUAGCGUUGUUCGGAAAUAUUGGGCGGAAAGGGCGUAUAGGCGGGGGAUUAAGUUGGGUGUGAAAUCCCUGGGCUCAACCCAGGAA
This 270-nucleotide ribosomal RNA is filed under the name uncultured prokaryote. RNAcentral's name for it is "partial 16S ribosomal RNA". It matches the Rfam family "Bacterial small subunit ribosomal RNA", at positions 355 to 620 of the family's 1533-position model. The record is from RNAcentral.